GGCUUAUUGAUUUUAAUUUUAGGUCGGACCUGCCCACUGAGUAUUUAAAUGGCCGCGGUAUAUUGACCGUGCAAAGGUAGCAUAAUCAUUAGUUUUUUAAUUGAAAGCUUGUAUGAAAGGUUUGAUGAGAAAUUGGCUGUCUCUGUUAAAAUUAAAUAGAAUUUUAUUUUUAAGUAAAAAAGCUUAAAUUUAUCUAGAAGACGAGAAGACCCUAUAGAGUUUUAUAUAAAUACAAGAAGCAUAGGUUUUAGGAAUGAAAAAUUUAAGGUCUUGUAUUUGUAUUUGGUUGGGGUGAUUGGAAAAUUUAAUAAACUUUUCUUUGUAUUUUUACAUUAAUUUAUGAAUAAAUGAUCCUAGAGUAUAGAUUAUAAGAUCAAAUUACCUUAGGGAUAACAGCGUAAUUUUUUUUAGAGUUCUUAUCGAAAAAAUUGAUUGCGACCUCGAUGUUGGAUUAAAAUUUAUUAUUGGUGUAGAAGCUAAUAGAUUAGGUCUGUUCGACCUUUAAAAUUUUACAUGAUCUGAGUUUAAACCGGUGUGAG
This 539-nucleotide ribosomal RNA is filed under the name Trigonopterus sp. 915 AR-2022a. RNAcentral describes it as "partial large subunit ribosomal RNA". It matches the Rfam family "Bacterial large subunit ribosomal RNA", at positions 1832 to 2625 of the family's 2925-position model. The record is from RNAcentral. Lineage: Eukaryota; Metazoa; Arthropoda; Insecta; Coleoptera; Curculionidae.